AGGGGCUGCUCGUGGUGAGAAGUAUCAAGCGGGCUGCUAGAUGGAGACGGGGGCUGCUCCUGGUGAGAAGUAUCAAGUGGGCUGCUAGAUGGAGACGGGGGCUGCUCCUGGGAUUGGUUUUUUAUGCUGUCCCACGAAGUCCUGAACCCCAUGUACUGCCUGUUUCAGUACGCCAACAAGAAUACAUGUAACUACUGUCUGCAGAUCAACCUGGCCUCGUCCGUCAACCCAGACCAUCUCCAGUAGGAAGAUUCAUCGCCAUGGUGAGAAGUCAUACAAUAUGUCUGCAGAUGGAACAUAACACUGAUUUUGUUUGGGGUCCUGGUUGCCCUCCACGAUCUUACCCUCUCUGGGGUGAUCUUGGAUGGGUCUUUGCAAACUAACUACUUGGUCCAGAAUGAAAUCAAUAUUAUUGCAGUCAUAAAAAGAAUAGACUAUUUCGAGCUGGACAUGGAGAUGACAUUCGUUGCAGACUUUGAGAUCCUAGGAAAGAUCGAGACGGUAGAUCUCAAGGAAGGCGGCAAAGAUAUUGACGUCACCGAGGCUAUUUUAUGACGAAAGGCUGCUGUGAAGAAACAAGUGGUGUGGCCAACAU
This is a long non-coding RNA of Strongylocentrotus purpuratus (purple sea urchin), 595 nucleotides long. RefSeq lists it as uncharacterized. Lineage: Eukaryota; Metazoa; Echinodermata; Echinoidea; Camarodonta; Strongylocentrotidae. The transcript is spliced from 2 exons. The record is from RefSeq and is a predicted model, not a curated record.